Molecule: ribosomal RNA, 253 nt
Filed under: uncultured bacterium
Lineage: Bacteria
Description: partial 16S ribosomal RNA
Rfam family: Bacterial small subunit ribosomal RNA
Source: RNAcentral
GACGUAGGGGACGAGCGUUGUCCGGAUUCAUUGGGCGUAAAGAGCGCGUAGGCGGCCGUGCAAGUCGGAUGUGAAAAUCCGGGGCUCAACCCCGGACGUGCAUCCGAUACUGCUCGGCUAGAGGUAGGUAGGGGAGAUCGGAAUUCCUGGUGUAGCGGUGAAAUGCGCAGAUAUCAGGAGGAACACCGGUGGCGAAGGCGGAUCUCUGGGCCUUACCUGACGCUCAGGCGCGAAAGCUAGGGGAGCGAACGGG